AGAUGCGACCGGCGCACGGGUGAGUAACACGUAUCCAACCUGCCGAUAACUCGGGGAUAGCCUUUCGAAAGAAAGAUUAAUACCCGAUGGCAUAAUAGAACCGCAUGGUUUGAUUAUUAAAGAAUUUCGGUUAUCGAUGGGGAUGCGUUCCAUUAGGCAGUUGGUGGGGUAACGGCCCACCAAACCUUCGAUGGAUAGGGGUUCUGAGAGGAAGGUCCCCCACAUUGGAACUGAGACACGGUCCAA
Molecule: ribosomal RNA, 246 nt
Filed under: uncultured bacterium
Lineage: Bacteria
Description: partial 16S ribosomal RNA
Rfam family: Bacterial small subunit ribosomal RNA
Source: RNAcentral